Molecule: transfer RNA, 74 nt
Filed under: Candidatus Haliotispira prima
Lineage: Bacteria; Pseudomonadati; Spirochaetota; Spirochaetia; Spirochaetales; Spirochaetaceae
Description: Spirochaetaceae bacterium SP-2023 tRNA-Arg
Rfam family: tRNA
About the family: Transfer RNA (tRNA) molecules are approximately 80 nucleotides in length.
Source: RNAcentral
GGACGAUUAGCUCAGCUGGAUAGAGCGUUUCCCUCCGGAGGAAGAGGUCAGAGGUUCGAAUCCUCUAUCGUUCG